UGGGGAAUAUUGCACAAUGGGCGCAAGCCUGAUGCAGCCAUGCCGCGUGUGUGAAGAAGGCCUUCGGGUUGUAAAGCACUUUCAGUUGUGAGGAAAGGUUAGUCGCUAAUAUCGGCUAGCUGUGACGUUAGCAACAGAAGAAGCACCGGCUAACUCCGUGCCAGCAGCCGCGGUAAUACGGAGGGUGCGAGCGUUAAUCGGAAUUACUGGGCGUAAAGCGCGUGUAGGUGGCUUGUUAAGCCAGAUGUGAAAGCCCCGGGCUCAACCUGGGAACUGCAUUUGGAACUGGCAGGCUAGAGUUUUGUAGAGGGUGGUAGAAUUUCAGGUGUAGCGGUGAAAUGCGUAGAGAUCUGAAGGAAUACCGGUGGCGAAGGCGACCACCUGGCCAAUAACUGACACU
RNAcentral lists this ribosomal RNA (400 nucleotides) under uncultured bacterium. RNAcentral describes it as "bacterial SSU rRNA". It matches the Rfam family "Bacterial small subunit ribosomal RNA", at positions 355 to 747 of the family's 1533-position model. The record is from RNAcentral.